AUGGUGGAGAGUUUGAUCCUGGCUCAGGAUCAACGCUGGCGGCGUGCCUAAUGCAUGCAAGUCGGGCGGGCGGCCCUCGGGUCGUCACGCGGCGGACGGGCGAGGAACACGUGGGCAACCUGCCCCGGGGCGGGGGGUAGCCCUCGGAAACGAGGGGUAAUUCCGCGUACGGUGGUCCCCUGGGUAGGGGGGAUCAGGAGAGGGACGCGGUCAAACGCGUCUCACCCCGGGAGGGGCCCGCGGCCGAUUAGCUAGACGGUGGGGUAACGGCCUACCGUGGCGAUGAUCGGUAGCUGGUCUGAGAGGACGGCCAGCCGCACGGGGACUGAGACACGGCCCCGACUCCUACGGGAGGCAGCAGCAAGGAAUUUUCCGCAAUGGGCGAAAGCCUGACGGAGCAACGCCGCGUGCGGGAGGACGCCUUUCGGGGUGUAAACCGCUUUU
Molecule: ribosomal RNA, 444 nt
Filed under: Chloroflexota bacterium
Lineage: Bacteria; Bacillati; Chloroflexota
Description: bacterial SSU rRNA
Rfam family: Bacterial small subunit ribosomal RNA
Source: RNAcentral